This 484-nucleotide ribosomal RNA is filed under the name uncultured bacterium. RNAcentral's name for it is "partial 16S ribosomal RNA". It matches the Rfam family "Bacterial small subunit ribosomal RNA", at positions 30 to 507 of the family's 1533-position model. The record is from RNAcentral.
AUUGAACGCUGGCGGCAGGCCUAACACAUGCAAGUCGAGCGGAUGAAGGGAGCUUGCUCCUGGAUUCAGCGGCGGACGGGUGAGUAAUGCCUAGGAAUCUGCCUGGUAGUGGGGGAUAACGUCCGGAAACGGGCGCUAAUACCGCAUACGUCCUGAGGGAGAAAGUGGGGGAUCUUCGGACCUCACGCUAUCAGAUGCGCCUAGGUCGGAUUAGCUAGUUGGUGGGGUAAAGGCCUACCAAGGCGACGAUCCGUAACUGGUCUGAGAGGAUGAUCAGUCACACUGGAACUGAGACACGGUCCAGACUCCUACGGGAGGCAGCAGUGGGGAAUAUUGGACAAUGGGCGAAAGCCUGAUCCAGCCAUGCCGCGUGUGUGAAGAAGGUCUUCGGAUUGUAAAGCACUUUAAGUUGGGAGGAAGGGCAGUAAGUUAAUACCUUGCUGUUUUGACGUUACCAACAGAAUAAGCACCGGCUAACUUCGCG